UUUCCGUAGGUGAACCUGCGGAGGGAUCAUUACCGAGAACACGGGCGCCGCCGCGAGGCCGCGACCCGACACUCCCAACCCUUUGUCAAACGUACACGUUGCCUCGGGGGCCCCCCGCCCCCGACGGACACACCACAAACACUGCAUCCCUGCGUCAGAGUAUUGAAACCAAUCAAUCAAAACUUUCAACAACGGAUCUCUUGGUUCUGGCAUCGAUGAAGAACGCAGC
Molecule: unclassified non-coding RNA, 229 nt
Filed under: uncultured fungus
Lineage: Eukaryota; Fungi
Description: sequence contains ITS1, 5.8S rRNA gene
Rfam family: 5.8S ribosomal RNA (bases 181-229)
Source: RNAcentral